Molecule: ribosomal RNA, 853 nt
Filed under: uncultured bacterium
Lineage: Bacteria
Description: bacterial SSU rRNA
Rfam family: Bacterial small subunit ribosomal RNA
Source: RNAcentral
GACGAACGCUGGCGGCGUGCUUUACACAUGCAAGUCGAGCGAUGAGAUCCCUUCGGGGAAGGAUUAGCGGCGAACGGGUGAGGAACACGUGAGGAAUCUACCUUCAACACUGGGAUAACUCCGGGAAACCGGGGCUAAUACCGGAUACGAGACCUGCAGGCAUCUGUGGGUCUGGAAAGUUUUUCGGUUGAAGAUGACCUCGCGGCCUAUCAGCUUGUUGGUGAGGUAAUGGCUCACCAAGGCGACGACGGGUAGCCGGCCUGAGAGGGCGACCGGCCACACUGGGACUGAGACACGGCCCAGACUCCUACGGGAGGCAGCAGUGGGGAAUAUUGGGCAAUGGAGGGAACUCUGACCCAGCGACGCCGCGUGCGGGAUGAAGGCCUUCGGGUUGUAAACCGCUUUCAGCAAGGAAGAAGCGAAAGUGACGGUACUUGCAGAAGAAGCACCGGCUAACUAUGUGCCAGCAGCCGCGGUAAUACAUAGGGUGCAAGCGUUGUCCGGAAUUAUUGGGCGUAAAGAGCUCGUAGGUGGUUCGUCACGUCGGAUGUGAAACUCUGGGGCUUAACCCCAGACCUGCAUUCGAUACGGGCGAGCUAGAGUGUGGUAGGGGAGACUGGAAUUCCUGGUGUAGCGGUGGAAUGCGCAGAUAUCAGGAGGAACACCAAUGGCGAAGGCAGGUCUCUGGGCCAUUACUGACACUGAGGAGCGAAUGCGUGGGGAGCGAACAGGAUUAGAUACCCUGGUAGUCCACGCCGUAAACGGUGGGCACUAGUUGUGGGAACCUUCCACGGUUUCUGCGACGCAGCUAACGCAUUAAGUGCCCCGCCUGGGGAGUACGAUCGCAAGAUUA